This 452-nucleotide ribosomal RNA is filed under the name uncultured bacterium. Its description in RNAcentral is "bacterial SSU rRNA". It matches the Rfam family "Bacterial small subunit ribosomal RNA", at positions 340 to 786 of the family's 1533-position model. The record is from RNAcentral.
UACGGAAGGCAGCAGUAGGGAAUAUUGGGCAAUGGGCGAGAGCCUGACCCAGCCAUGCCGCGUGCAGGAAGAAGGCUUUCUGAGUCGUAAACUGCUUUUGACAGGGAAGAAUAAGCUGGUCGUGACCAGUGAUGACGGUACCUGCAGAAUAAGCACCGGCUAACUCCGUGCCAGCAGCCGCGGUAAUACGGAGGGUGCGAGCGUUGUCCGGAUUUAUUGGGUUUAAAGGGUGCGUAGGCGGCUUUUUUAGUCUGGGGUGAAAGCCCGCUGCUCAACAGCGGAACUGCCCUGGAUACUGGAGAGCUUGAGUACAGACGAGGUUGGCGGAAUGGACAGAGUAGCGGUGAAAUGCAUAGAUACUGUCCAGAACCCCGAUUGCGAAGGGCAGCUGACUAGGCUGUUACUGACGCUGAGGCACGAAAGCGUGGGGAGCGACAAGGGAAUUAGAUACC